This is a non-coding RNA of Anas platyrhynchos (mallard), 1334 nucleotides long. The record is from RefSeq and is a predicted model, not a curated record. Lineage: Eukaryota; Metazoa; Chordata; Aves; Anseriformes; Anatidae.
AGGCAGGCAAUAGAGCCUCGAAAGUCUUCCUUUGCAGCUUUACCAAUGGUUGCUAUUAUACAAAUGGGGCCAACUGUGAAAUUGGGUUGGGUCAUCUCUAGUGUCAAUGGACCUGCUUAAAUAACAGGGGAAAAAAAAAAAAAAAAAAAAAAAGUUAGUUCCUGGGGUAAGGUCCUGCUGCAGCUCCAGCCCGGAGAAGCUACCCAGCACUGUCUGCUUUGGGAAGAGGUGGGCAAGGGUAUUCUCUCUGGUUUAGCUUAUGGGGUUUCUACUUUGCUUCAUUUCACUGUGUAUAUAUGAUACUCACUGGUGGGUAGCUGCAGACCUUUCUGAGCCCCAUACUGGGGUAGUAUUUUCCCAAUCAGCCUGAAAAUACUGUGCAGUGCCUGGAGCACAAAGAAACAGCUCUCCCCCAAAAACACCCAAGUCAACUGAACUACAGCAAAAAAAACGUGUCCUUUGGGAAUAACCACUUGUUCUCUUAGCCGAAGAGUGACCUGCUGAUGCUUAGUUUCAGCUGGAGAGGGAAAGCCAUUUGUGCACUCUGAUGUAUGUAUGCGGCCUAAAGCCUUCACAACUACAAUACUACCACUGUGAACGCAGUUGCCUCCAUUUCAAUGAAUCCAGCUGUGGAGAACUCAAAGGGAAAUUAGCUGUGCAACCAUUAAAAAUGACUCAAAUGCAUUUCUAUGCACAAAAAUGUCAUAGCAUUAAAAUCUUGAGUCUUUUCAGGACGUGUCCCCUUUGUGUGGCUGGGAAUUGCCCUUCUCUAAUAGCAUUAACCUCCCGUUUCUAUCCCUUCAUGACCAUCAGGCAUUAAAGAUGAGAGAGUUUUUGUUGUACAGGGUUUUAAUGCCUAGAAAAGCACCACUAACCCAAGGCUGAAUCUGAAUCUCGUCUGUCCUGAGUAGGGAUGGUUUGGGGAGAAAUGCCUUUGAAACUGAUGAGUUGUUUGUAACACUAGAAUAGAUCUCAGUGAAGAUGGAUUAAUGGGUAGAGUACAGCUGAGCUGGUGAAAGGUACAUGAUUAAUUCAGUUUUGACAGGAUUGUAUAAUUUAUAGCCUGGAUAACACCUCCAAUUAGGCAUAUCACAUUCUUUAUUUCUGUGGCUGUAAAGACGAGGAGUACUACACCUGAAUUUCAGGCCCAGCAUGCUUGGUGCUGCACAAUCAGAAAUAAAGAUACAAUGAAAGAGAGAGCACCUGAGAAACGCUGAGACCAUUCUGGAAAGCAGUGCUGCUCACUAAUGAAAUAGUGGACUUCUGAAACUUUAAUGCUUAAUGAAUUCAUGACAUAAAUUGCUUAAUAAAUUCAUGACAUUCAUUUCCAUAAA